GCAGUCUUAGUAUAGUGGUUAGUACAGCUCGUUGUGGUUCAUUUCUACAUCUGAGCCAUUGGCUUCAGUGCCGAGCAGACGGAUGUUCGAUUCCUCCAGACUGCA
Molecule: non-coding RNA, 105 nt
Organism: Melanopsichium pennsylvanicum
Lineage: Eukaryota; Fungi; Basidiomycota; Ustilaginomycetes; Ustilaginales
Source: the annotation of a GenBank genome assembly